GGGGUUGUGGCUUAGAGUGGCAGAGCGCUCGCCUAGCACGUGUGAGGCCCUGGGUUCGAUCCUCAGCACCA
Molecule: transfer RNA, 71 nt
Filed under: Ictidomys tridecemlineatus (thirteen-lined ground squirrel)
Lineage: Eukaryota; Metazoa; Chordata; Mammalia; Rodentia; Sciuridae
Description: Spermophilus tridecemlineatus (thirteen-lined ground squirrel) tRNA
Rfam family: tRNA
About the family: Transfer RNA (tRNA) molecules are approximately 80 nucleotides in length. Their secondary structure includes four short double-helical elements and three loops (D, anti-codon, and T loops).
Source: Rfam by way of RNAcentral